Molecule: ribosomal RNA, 430 nt
Filed under: uncultured bacterium
Lineage: Bacteria
Description: bacterial SSU rRNA
Rfam family: Bacterial small subunit ribosomal RNA
Source: RNAcentral
AACGAACGCUGGCGGCAGGCUUAACACAUGCAAGUCGAGCGCCCCGCAAGGGGAGCGGCAGACGGGUGAGUAACGCGUGGGAAUCUACCCAUCUCUACGGAAUAACUCAGGGAAACUUGUGCUAAUACCGUAUACGCCCUUUGGGGGAAAGAUUUAUCGGAGAUGGAUGAGCCCGCGUUGGAUUAGCUAGUUGGUGGGGUAAUGGCCUACCAAGGCGACGAUCCAUAGCUGGUCUGAGAGGAUGAUCAGCCACACUGGGACUGAGACACGGCCCAGACUCCUACGGGAGGCAGCAGUGGGGAAUAUUGGACAAUGGGCGCAAGCCUGAUCCAGCCAUGCCGCGUGAGUGAUGAAGGCCCUAGGGUUGUAAAGCUCUUUCACCGGUGAAGAUAAUGACGGUAACCGGAGAAGAAGCCCCGGCUAACUUCGU